This 334-nucleotide unclassified non-coding RNA is filed under the name soil metagenome. Its description in RNAcentral is "partial contains 5.8S ribosomal RNA, internal transcribed spacer 2, and large subunit ribosomal RNA". The stretch from base 1 to 120 matches the Rfam family "5.8S ribosomal RNA", at positions 35 to 154 of the family's 154-position model. The record is from RNAcentral.
GAUGAAGAACGCAGCGAAAUGCGAUAAGUAAUGUGAAUUGCAGAAUUCAGUGAAUCAUCGAAUCUUUGAACGCACAUUGCGCCCGCCAGUAUUCUGGCGGGCAUGCCAGUUCGAGCGUCAUUUCAACCAUCAAGCCCCCGGCUUGUGUUGGGGACCUGCGGCUGCCGCAGGCCCUGAAAUGCAGUGGCGGGCUCGCUGUCACUCCGAGCGUAGUAGUUACAUCUCGCUCUGGGCGUGCUGCGGGUUCCGGCCGUUAAAAGCCUUAUUUACCCAAGGUUGACCUCGGAUCAGGUAGGAAGACCCGCUGAACUUAAGCAUAUCAAUAAGCGGAGGA